CCCUCCUCCACAGUGACACACUUCCUCCAACAAGGCCACGCCUACUCCGGCAAGCCCCGCCUCCUAAUAGCGCUGCUCCCUUUGGGAGCCAUUUUCUUUCAAACCGCCACAAGGGUGGGAAGACUCACCCUGAUUGUGGGCUGCACCUUCCAGCGACAGCCCAGAUAAAAGAUGGAAACGGGAAGUUUUGCUUUUACCCACGUGCCUUCAUGCUCACUGGCAAGCCCGUCUGCUCUGUGUUGCUGAUGCUGCGUGCCUUAGCUGAUGUUAGAACCCAACUUCAGGCUUCUAAUGUAGCCUGAAGACCAGCAGCUCUCCAGGAAUCUUCAGGGCCUUUAGUGCCUGAUUGGGACUGCAGAGACACCCAACCUCAUGAUGUGAGCAACUGCAGGUUUCUUGGCUUCUCCUGUGUGAGACAACCAUUGUUGGACUACCCGGAUGUGUAAGCCAAUCUAAUAAAUUCCCCUUUAACAGA
This is a non-coding RNA of Peromyscus maniculatus bairdii (prairie deer mouse), 475 nucleotides long. The record is from RefSeq and is a predicted model, not a curated record. Lineage: Eukaryota; Metazoa; Chordata; Mammalia; Rodentia; Cricetidae.